Molecule: ribosomal RNA, 1010 nt
Filed under: uncultured bacterium
Lineage: Bacteria
Description: bacterial SSU rRNA
Rfam family: Bacterial small subunit ribosomal RNA
Source: RNAcentral
AUAGCUGUCCUGGCUCAGAACGAACGCUGGCGGCAGGCCUAACACAAGCAAGUCGAGCGCGCCCUUCGGGGUGAGCGGCGGACGGGUUAGUAACGCGUGGGAAUAUACCCGACACUAAGGAAUAGCCUCUGGAAACGGAGAGUAAUACCUUAUACGCCCUUCGGGGGAAAGAUUUAUCGGUGACGGAUUAGCCCGCGUUAGAUUAGAUAGUUGGUGGGGUAAUGGCCUACCAAGUCUACGAUCUAUAGCUGGUUUUAGAGGAUGAUCAGCAACACUGGGACUGAGACACGGCCCAGACUCCUACGGGAGGCAGCAGUGGGGAAUCUUGGACAAUGGGCGCAAGCCUGAUCCAGCCAUGCCGCGUGAGUGAUGAAGGCCUUAGGGUCGUAAAGCUCUUUCGCCAGAGAUGAUAAUGACAGUAUCUGGUAAAGAAACCCCGGCUAACUCCGUGCCAGCAGCCGCGGUAAUACGGAGGGGGUUAGCGUUGUUCGGAAUUACUGGGCGUAAAGCGCGCGUAGGCGGAUUAGUCAGUUAGAGGUGAAAUCCCAGGGCUCAACCCUGGAACUGCCCUUAAUACUGCUAGUCUUGAGUUCGAGAGAGGUGAGUGGAAUUCCGAGUGUAGAGGUGAAAUUCGUAGAUAUUCGGAGGAACACCAGUGGCGAAGGCGGCUCACUGGCUCGAUACUGACGCUGAGGUGCGAAAGUGUGGGGAGCAAACAGGAUUAGAUACCCUGGUAGUCCACACCGUAAACGAUGAAUGCCAGUCGUCAGCAAGCAUGCUUGUCGGUGACACACCUAACGGAUUAAGCAUUCCGCCUGGGGGAGUACGGUCGCAAGAUUAAAACUCACAGGAAUUGACGGGGGGCCCGCACAAGCCGGUGAAGCAUGGGGCUUUAAUUCCCAAGCAACGGCGCAGGAACCUUUACCAACCCAUUGACAUCCGUCUGGACCGGCCGGAAAAGAUCUUGGGUUUCCACUUCCGGUGGACCCGAUAUGACAGGGCGCUUCCAC